Molecule: signal recognition particle RNA, 327 nt
Filed under: Solanum tuberosum (potato)
Lineage: Eukaryota; Viridiplantae; Streptophyta; Magnoliopsida; Solanales; Solanaceae
Description: SRP RNA Plant_SRP
Rfam family: Plant signal recognition particle RNA
Source: Rfam by way of RNAcentral
UCCGAGCUCAGUACCGUGGACUGGUAACUCAAGUGGGGGCAUUAGUGUACCUGCCCUAUCGAAGCACAGAGUUGGGUCCCGUAGUCUAUGGCAAAGGCUUGGGCAUGUGUGGCAAUUUUCUGGCCUGCCCUAUCCAAGCACAUAGUUGGGUCCCGUAGUCUAUGGCGAGGCUUGGGCUGCUGGGCUACUAAACUGGGGUGGACUGUGUGAGGUUGGUUUCACAGAGCAACGAAUAGCUCCCGCUCUGUGCAGUGGAAGGAUAACGAGUCAGUGUCGUACUAGUCCAAUGAAUGCCUGAUGGACUGCUCUAAUUAAACCACCACUUUU